GACGAACCGUCCAAACGUUGUUCGGAAUCACUGGGCUUAAAGGGCGCGUAGGCGGGUUCCCAAGUCGGUGGUGAAAUCUUUCGGCCCAACCGGAAAAGUGCCGCCGAUACUGGGGACCUCGAGGGAGGUAGGGGUCGAGGGAACUUCCGGUGGAGCGGUGAAAUGCGUAGAUAUCGGAAGGAACGCCGGUGGCGAAAGCGCUCGACUGGACCUCUUCUGACGCUGAGGCGCGAAAGCCAGGGGAGCAAACGGG
This 253-nucleotide ribosomal RNA is filed under the name uncultured bacterium. RNAcentral's name for it is "partial 16S ribosomal RNA". It matches the Rfam family "Bacterial small subunit ribosomal RNA", at positions 524 to 776 of the family's 1533-position model. The record is from RNAcentral.